CAACGUUCAGAAACCUCUCACCUUGCUCAAAUCUCCAACUAACCUGCAACCCAGUCAGUUAUAUCACAAAUAGAGAAAUUGCAAGAAGUUAUCAUAUAAAUACCUUGCCCAGCAAUAGCUUGCUGCUUUGUCUGCCUGUUCGGGUCUAAGGAGGCAAUGUACUGAGGACAGUUCCUCUUCCAGUGCCCCCACUUCUUGCAAAAGAAGCAUUCAGCUUGACUCUUAUCGAGCUUGAUCUUUUUGGUCUGGCCCUGCCCUGAUGUCCCAGCCUAAACUUGCACCUUCUUCACUUUCUUCUUCUGGUUCUUCUUCCCUUUCUUAAAGGGUCGAGAAUCAGAAGAUGAAUCUCCCACUAAGUUCACCGACUCCUUAUGGAGUUGGU
This 382-nucleotide long non-coding RNA is filed under the name Elaeis guineensis (African oil palm). RNAcentral describes it as "long non-coding RNA (EGUI_LNC071439)". The record is from RNAcentral. Lineage: Eukaryota; Viridiplantae; Streptophyta; Magnoliopsida; Arecales; Arecaceae.